GUCCAGACUUUGAUCAUGGCUCAGGAUGAACGCUGGCGGCGUGCCUAAUACAUGCAAGUCGAACGAAUCUCUUUUAGAGAUGAGUGGCGAACGGGUGAGUAAUACAUAGGUAACCUGCCCCUGUGCGGGGGAUAACAGGAGGAAACUCCUGCUAAUACCGCAUAGCCAUGAGCACCGCAUGGAGCUCAUGCCAAAUAUCCUUUAUGGGACAGCGCAGGGAUGGACCUGUGGCGCAUUAGCUGGUUGGCGGGGCAACGGCCCACCAAGGCAACGAUGCGUAGCCGGCCUGAGAGGGCGGACGGCCACAUUGGGACUGAGACACGGCCCAGACUCCUACGGGAGGCAGCAGUAGGGAAUUUUCGGCAAUGGGGGAAACCCUGACCGAGCAACGCCGCGUGAGCGAAGAAGGCCUUCGGGUCGUAAAGCUCUGUUGUAAAGGAAGAACGGCGCAUACAGGAAAUGGUAUGCGAGUGACGGUACUUUACCAGAAAGCCACGGCUAACUACGUGCCAGCAGCCGCGGUAAUACGUAGGUGGCGAGCGUUAUCCGGAAUCAUUGGGCGUUAAGAGGGAGCAGGCGGCCGCAAGGGUCUGUGGUGAAAGACCGAAGCUAAACUUCGGUAAGCCAUGGAAACCGGGCGGCUAGAGUGCGGAAGAGGAUCGUGGAAUUCCAUGUGUAGCGGUGAAAUGCGUAGAUAUAUGGAGGAACACCAGUGGCGAAGGCGACGGUCUAGGCCGCAACUGACGCUCAUUCCCGAAAGCGUGGGGAGCAAAUAGGAUUAGAUACCCUAGUAGUCCACGCCGUAAACGAUGGUCACUAAGUGUCGGGGGUCAAACCCCGGU
RNAcentral lists this ribosomal RNA (842 nucleotides) under uncultured bacterium. RNAcentral describes it as "bacterial SSU rRNA". It matches the Rfam family "Bacterial small subunit ribosomal RNA", at positions 1 to 844 of the family's 1533-position model. The record is from RNAcentral.